ACGGGUGUGCGUAAAUGACUUCGACGUGAUAAAUCUUUCUCACACGCACUUGUAAUUAACUGGCCGUUGAUCACGCUCAUUUAAUUAUACGACUAGUACCAGCAUGGUACCAUCAAGUGGUGUAAUUUGGGACAUGUGAAGCAAAUUCGGAGAUUACUAAAUAAUAUUCCAAAUUAAUUCACGUGCUUUUAACAGGGAUCUAAAAUCAGUUAACGCUAAAACUGAUGUCAGAUUCUGGUUAAGACUAUCUCAAGAUUUUAUUUUGAAAAAUAAAGAGUUACUAACAAACAAUUCUUUGUGGAGUAUUAAAAGUGCUGAAGAACAAGAA
Molecule: long non-coding RNA, 328 nt
Organism: Belonocnema kinseyi
Lineage: Eukaryota; Metazoa; Arthropoda; Insecta; Hymenoptera; Cynipidae
Exons: 3
Source: RefSeq, a predicted model, not a curated record